GCCCAGGUGGCGAAAUGGCAGACGCGCAACGUUGAGGUCGUUGUGGAGCAAUCCAUGCGGGUUCAAGUCCCGCCCUGGGCA
RNAcentral lists this transfer RNA (81 nucleotides) under Armatimonadota bacterium. It matches the Rfam family "tRNA". From Rfam's summary of the family: Transfer RNA (tRNA) molecules are approximately 80 nucleotides in length. Their secondary structure includes four short double-helical elements and three loops (D, anti-codon, and T loops). Lineage: Bacteria; Bacillati; Armatimonadota. The record is from Rfam by way of RNAcentral.